CCUACGGGCGGCAGCAGUGGGGAAUAUUGGACAAUGGGGGGAACCCUGAUCCAGCCAUGCCGCGUGUGUGAAGAAGGCCCUCGGGUUGUAAAGCACUUUCAGUGAGGAAGAACGCCUGGUGGUUAAUACCCAUCAGGAAAGACAUCACUCACAGAAGAAGCACCGGCUAACUCCGUGCCAGCAGCCGCGGUAAUACGGAGGGUGCGAGCGUUAAUCGGAAUUACUGGGCGUAAAGCGCGCGUAGGUGGCUUGAUAAGCCGGUUGUGAAAGCCCCGGGCUCAACCUGGGGACGGCAUCCGGAACUGUCAAGCUAGAGUGCAGGAGAGGAAGGUAGAAUUCCCGGUGUAGCGGUGAAAUGCGUAGAGAUCGGGAGGAAUACCAGUGGCGAAGGCGGCCUUCUGGACUGACACUGACACUGAGGUGCGAAAGCGUGGGUAGCAAACAGGAUUAGAUACCCUGGUAGUC
This 465-nucleotide ribosomal RNA is filed under the name Vreelandella stevensii. RNAcentral describes it as "partial 16S ribosomal RNA". It matches the Rfam family "Bacterial small subunit ribosomal RNA", at positions 338 to 795 of the family's 1533-position model. The record is from RNAcentral. Lineage: Bacteria; Pseudomonadati; Pseudomonadota; Gammaproteobacteria; Oceanospirillales; Halomonadaceae.